CUCAGUCUUUGUACUUGCAAAGCCAAUUGGCUUGUGUUAGAGCCUAGAGGUAUGCUGCUUUCUUAAUUUGUGCUUUUUUCGCCUCUACUCAAUUUACUUUUUUCAUCCCAUAGAUUUGAAAUUCACACUCUAAUUCCGGUAAUCAUUGAUUUGUUGCAAGUGAAUCGAACUCUGCUGGUCUCUGCUAUUCUUACUUUUUGGAGAUAGUCAGCCAUCUAUGAGUUAAGAGCUUUUUAUUUACUGUUUCUAUGAACAAAUUCACGCUCCCCUAGUGUGUUUGUCAUUAACAUAAAGCUUGUUACUAUUUCUAUUAUAAGUUCUAAUUUCAAAUGGGCUGUCAAGUUCUAUUUCUUGGGACAUUUUCCAUUGAACGUUUGGACCUGUCUAAAUUUGAUGCUCAUAAUUAAGGAUUAGGAACUUAAUUGUGUAGUCUCAAUAUCCAGUUAUCAUCUUGAACUAAGCUUUAUUUCAAGUACUGAAAUCUUUACAUGUCCAAACUUCUAAGAAUUCCAUAACUACCGGGGAGAUUUGGACAUGAUACCAAGUACUAAACAAAUUUUGUCAUGGUCACUGCAUGUGGAGGGUCUUUUGAAAAUGCAACAAGGUAGGUAGAAAAGGAUCAAAGAUGUAAAGUAAGCAUAGGCACAAUGUGAACUUUGAAGUUGUAACUUGGUAUGCGAAUGAGUUGACAACCAUAUGACAUGAUGAUUGGUUAUCAAUUUAGAUGCUAAUAGUGAGUGCAUUCAAUAUGAAUCUACAACUUCUUCUCGCUUAUCUAGCUUCUUGAUUCCUAUCAGUUUUGGAUAUUAUGAACGAAAACAGAUCAUUGCUUUCUUUCAGUAAAUAAAAAAAAAGUAAGUAAAAUGCUACUCAUGACAGAAACUACUACACCUCUUGAAGUGUGUCAUUAUCCUGCAAAUUUUAUUUUCAAGGUCUGGUUUGCACAAUCGAUAUAAAUUUCAAGUAGCUCAAGCUAUAGUAGUUUCAAAAGGUUUUAUAAAAGGUAUUUGCAAAUUAUAAAGAGAUAUUUUGAAAUAGUUCAAAGUGGUUUUUAGUAUUCACAAUUUUAAUACUCCGUACUUACUUGUUCGACUAUUACUUAGUGAAAGAACUUGAGAGAAUAUGGACAGAAAGAGCCGGAGCCUGAAGGCUAUCAACUGCCUACAGAUUGAUAGUACAUAGAUAUUAGCAGCAGUUAGCACUGGAUUAUGAUAUCUAAAUCUGUUAGAUCGGUUAUUGGUUUGGGCCAAGGUUAAUAAAUAACAGCUAUGGCGCCGCCAUGUUGGAUGGUGUUGGCGGAUUUCUGACUAAAUGCCACAGCAGUUAGCACUGGAUUAUGAUAUCUAAAUCUGUUAGAUCGGUUAUUGGUUUGGGCCAAGGUUAAUAAAUAACAGCUAUGGCGCCGCCAUGUUGGAUGGUGUUGGCGGAUUUCUGACUAAAUGCCACCGCCAUGGCACAGCGAGCAAGUAUAUCCCGAGCUUAUCGUUGUCGUUAUUGCAUCUGAUGCAACAAAGCAGUUCCUUAUUAAGAAUAAGAGCCCAGAGCUUCAGCUUUGUAAUCAUUCUUUGUUGCAUCUGAUGCAACAAAGCAUGUUUUGAACAUGCACCAAGGAAUCGCAGUGGCUAGGUUUCUUUUUCUUGAAAAAUGUUGGGAGCUACUUGUUGGUGUCUAGGAGCUUUCCAAACACAAUGGCUGCUUUUCAUUGCAUAACUAAAGCAGAACAAAGUGAAUACCUAAAUGUAGUUGAAGUUUGUGGUGGAAAACAUAGUUACUACUUACUAUAUUUAGGAGCAAGAUGUGGAGCCUUUGUUUUCUAGUUUCCAAUUAUAGUAUGAGCCGAAAGAGAUGUGUUUCUAGUUCCAAUCUUUACAGACUGCUUCCUAGACUGUUAAAGAUUGUCAUGACGACAGUUAGGUGGAGUAUUAUAUACAUAAGAAAUCUUGCUCUUCUUCAUUAUCCAGAAAUUAAUUCUUGGCACAUAGCGUGUUGCACGUGGUUUGCUUAAUCCAGGAAAUCGAAAAUCUGUUAGGAAAUGCAGAUCCUUGCAAGUAAAUUGAGAGAUUCCUCUCUUUGGGCUAGUCAUUUGUAGGAGCUACUUUUGAGAGUUGGCUGGGUGGUGGAGACGAGGACGAGGACGGAACGGGGAUGCAUAGGUGGGAGUAGGGGUGACCGUCUCUGCCUCCCAGUCCCAUCCAUAGGGCUUUAUCAAGUUGGAUAUGUAAAAUUGUUACUAUAGUAGCUGUUCUCUUUCUUUUCAUAAGAGGAAGGAGCAUCUUUAGAGAGGAUUAGAGGGAAGUGGGAAUUAAGUGCAUUGCAAUUAUGCGUCUGCACAGUUUUAACAAGGCUGGAUCACCGAGUGUAAGCAUGUGAGUGCACCUCACUAAUUAAUACUAUCAGAAUAUUUUACAGAUGUCUUUGAGAAAAACAUUUAAAUAUUAUGCUAUACGAUCUGCAUAAUAUGCAAUACGCAGUUAAUAUACUGCAUAAAUUUAUGCUAUUAAUAUAUGGACAAAGGAAAAAUAUUGCAAGAAUCGUACUUCCCUUGUGUGAUCAAAUAGUCUCUGGUUUAAUCCAUACAACUCUCUUACUUUUUUUUGUAAGUACAAAAUCCUACACCCUUAGCAAAGCAAAAGAAAAAACAUACCACCACAAAUAAAAAAACUCCACUAACCAAGAUAAAGAAAGGAUAUAUCAAAAUAAAGCACACCUGACUGACUGACUCAACAAAGCCAUGACAAAACUCUCCCUCAUCAAAUUAAAUGACAUAGAUAAUAAAAAUAGUAUGGAGGAAAGAAAGUAUUUGCCAAGUCGAGAGAAAUGGCAUUUAUAA
Long non-coding RNA from Salvia hispanica, 2830 nucleotides. RefSeq lists it as uncharacterized. The record is from RefSeq and is a predicted model, not a curated record. Lineage: Eukaryota; Viridiplantae; Streptophyta; Magnoliopsida; Lamiales; Lamiaceae.